RNAcentral lists this unclassified non-coding RNA (874 nucleotides) under Hevea brasiliensis (rubber tree). The record is from RNAcentral. Lineage: Eukaryota; Viridiplantae; Streptophyta; Magnoliopsida; Malpighiales; Euphorbiaceae.
CCCCCUCUUCUUGAAUCUUCUUCGACAUCGAAAACCGAAAAAGAAAUCACCAAAUCAAAAAGUAACACAUUACACACUGCACAAUUGACUGUGAGAGCUCUCAUAGAAAUUUCCUUUUCGUCAUUUCUUCUUCAACACAUCAGUAGAAAAGGAUCCCUUCUAGGGUUUAAAAAAAAAACACCAGAGAGAGCCCGAUCAUGGAACAGUCCAUCAAGCCACACACGCACUCCUCAUACAUAGUUAUAAAAUUCACAGAAGGUAGAAAAACCCAAAAAAAAAAAAAUAAAAUAAAAUAAAAAGAAAAUUCUCAAAAUGGGUCUUCUUGUCCUCCAAACUCCCUCUCCAUGGCUUGGGCCUAUUCUUGAUUUCUUGGUGGACAAAAACCAUCAUCAAGAUUCAAACCAUAGUACCAUACACAAACUGUUGGUUUUGUAAUUUUCUUUUUUUUGUUUCUCAGGGGAAAUUAAUUAUUGUUAUUAUAUUUAUAUAUAUAAUGUAAAAUUAAGCUGCAGCUACAGUGCCUGCACGUGAAGGGCAGCCUUGGUUUUUGGUAGGGGACAUAGAAGAUUUCUUCUGGUCUUUCUUCCUUAAUGCUUUCAUGGAAGAAGAAAGGUUCCAGUUCUUGUCUUCAGCUUCAUCUAUCUCUAUUUGUUCUUGCCUGCACUCUUCACUGCAGAAUGGAGUGUCCCCUCUAUACAUGAAGAUGUCUCUGUUGUUACCCAGUGGUUUCUUGCAAAGAUAACAAGCUUCCAAGAAAUGGGGUUGAUGAUCCUCAAAUCUCGCAUCAUAAAACCUAGCGGAUCUUGGAGAAGAAAUAGACGAUGACAAGUUCCUGAGACUACCCCUCCUCCCAUAACAAAGCGACCGAGAAAAG